GUGAGGAAUAUUGGUCAAUGGGCGGGAGCCUGAACCAGCCAAGUCGCGUGAAGGAAGAAGGAUCUAUGGUUCGUAAACUUCUUUUGCAGGGGAAUAAAGUGCAGGACGUGUCCUGUUUAGUAUGUACCCUGAGAAUAAGGAUCGGCUAACUCCGUGCCAGCAGCCGCGGUAAUACGGAGGAUCCGAGCGUUAUCCGGAUUUAUUGGGUUUAAAGGGUGCGUAGGUGGUUUGAUAAGUCAGCGGUGAAAGUUUGCAGCUUAACUGUAAAAAUGCCGUUGAAACUGUCGGACUUGAGUGUAAAUGAGGUAGGCGGAAUGCGUGGUGUAGCGGUGAAAUGCAUAGAUAUCACGCAGAACUCCGAUUGCGAAGGCAGCUUACUAAGCUACAACUGACACUGAAGCACGAAAGCGUGGGGAUCAAACAGGAUUAGAUACCCUAGUAGUCC
This 445-nucleotide ribosomal RNA is filed under the name uncultured bacterium. Its description in RNAcentral is "partial 16S ribosomal RNA". It matches the Rfam family "Bacterial small subunit ribosomal RNA", at positions 354 to 796 of the family's 1533-position model. The record is from RNAcentral.